CUAUCUCUCUGGCUCUCAAGCAUUUCAGAGUCUCGGUGACCGGCUCCACGUUCUCGUGUUGACAGACAAUAUGGCUGCAAAGGCACACGUUAACAGAUGGGAACGAGAUCCAAGGCACUUACAAGGGAGGCAGAACAUUUGGGGUUAUGGGCAGAGAAACACCUGUCAAUCUCGGCGGAUUUCCGGAGUUGACAAUCCCCAAGCCAACUGGCUGAGCAGGAGUUUAGUCGACCAGGCAGAAUGGUCCAUUCCUCUGUCCCUAUUCAGGGAUCUUUCUCUCAGAUUCGGAAUUCCAGAGGUGGAUCUCUUCUCCACUCCUCAAAAUGCCCAAGUCAACAGAUUGUUCACCAGUAUUCCUUGCCAGGAGCGGAGGGGACCAAUGCUCUUUGUUGCAAUGGCCUGUGGGUCUCCUCUACGCCUUUCCCCGCUUCCCAUCAUUCCAGCAGUCAUACGGAAGCUGUUGGCGGAACGAGCGGAGCUAAUUCUCCUGGCACCCAUUGGCCAAAGAGGCCCUGGUUGCAGACCUGUCUGUGGCUUCUUCCCCUUGGAGGAUCUAGGCCCAUCUCAUCUCCCUGCACCAAGGGCCCUGAUCUAUCUGGAUCCCCUGUGGCUCAAGCUGACCAUGUGGCAUUUGAGUGGCAGCAGCAAAGGGAGGGUAAUCUCCCAGAGGGGGUUAUCCUCACCAUCCAGGCGUCUUGCAAACCUACGGCACAUCUAUGAUGCCACCUGGAGGGUUUUCUCCCAUGGUGCCUCAAGGAGAGUCCUCUCUCCUUCCUCAGCCCAGUUGAGAGGUUCUUAGAUUCCUUCAGGAUGACUUGGAGAAAGUUUUCGCCCCAAAUACCUUACGUCGCCAGGUAGUGGCUCUCUCCUCAGUUCUUUCAUGGGUUUGCUUCCUUCCUUGUUCCAUCACCCCUCGGUCAGGAGAUUUUUGAAAGUGGCUUCCAACCAACACCCUCCUGUAGUGCAAAGGUAUCCUUCAUGGGCCUUCACUUGGUUUCUUAAUGCGCUUACGAAGCCCCCCUUUGAACCCUUAGA
This 1035-nucleotide long non-coding RNA is filed under the name Laticauda laticaudata (blue-ringed sea krait). RNAcentral describes it as "lncRNA (ENSLLTG00000010312.1)". Lineage: Eukaryota; Metazoa; Chordata; Lepidosauria; Squamata; Elapidae. The record is from RNAcentral.